UCUUGGUCAUUUAGAGGAAGUAAAAGUCGUAACAAGGUUUCCGUAGGUGAACCUGCGGAAGGAUCAUUAAUGUAACCGGACUGGUACGUUCGCCGUAAAACGCAACGGAUCGGAAAGGGAGAUAUCAUACACCCUAUAUUUAUUUUACCUUUGUUGCUUUGGCGGGCCGUCCUUUUAGGCGUCGGCCCCGGCUGAUCGCGCCCGCCAGAGGACCCAAACUCUUUUAUUAGUGAUGUCUAAGUACUAUAUAAUAGUUAAAACUUUCAACAACGGAUCUCUUGGUUCUGGCAUCGAUGAAGAACGCAGCGAAAUGCGAUAAGUAAUGUGAAUUGCAGAAUUCAGUGAAUCAUCGAAUCUUUGAACGCACAUUGCGCCCCUUGGUAUUCCGGGGGGCAUGCCUGUUCGAGCGUCAUUUCAACCCUCACGCGUAGCGUGGUCUUGGGCACUGCCGGCAACGGCUUGCCUUAAAAUCAGUGGCGGUGCCAUCGAGCUCUACGCGUAGUAAUAAACCCCUCGCGUGUGAGUCUCGGCGGUCGCUUGCCAGCAACCCCCAAUUUUUUAUGGUUGACCUCGAAUCAGGUAGGGAUACCCGCUGAACUUAAGCAUAUCAAUAAGCGGAGGA
RNAcentral lists this ribosomal RNA (622 nucleotides) under fungal sp. 35 GM 11-05. RNAcentral's name for it is "eukaryotic LSU rRNA". The stretch from base 259 to 412 matches the Rfam family "5.8S ribosomal RNA". The record is from RNAcentral. Lineage: Eukaryota; Fungi.